AACGAACGCUGGCGGCAUGCCUAACACAUGCAAGUCGAACGAGACCUUCGGUUCUAGUGCCUCACGAGUGCGUAAAGCGUGGGAACCUGCACUUAGGUUCGGACUAACUACUCGACUGGGGUGCUCAUACCGGAUACUGUCUUCGACCAAAAUUUUUAUCGCCUUUGAAUGGGCCCGCGUUGGAUUAUCUAGUUGAUAGGGUAAAAGCUUACAAAGGCAAUGAUCAGUAGCUGGUCUGGGAGAAUGAUCGGCAACACUGGGACUGAGACACGGCCCAGCCUCCUACGGAAGGAGGCAGUGGGAAAUUUUGAACAAUGGCGGAAGCCCUGUCCAGGAAUGCCGCGGGAAUUUAGAAGGCCUUAGGGUUGUAAAGCUCUUUUACCCGGGAUGAUAAUGACAGUACCGUGAGAAUAAGGUCCGGCUAACUCCGUG
RNAcentral lists this ribosomal RNA (432 nucleotides) under uncultured bacterium. RNAcentral's name for it is "partial 16S ribosomal RNA". It matches the Rfam family "Bacterial small subunit ribosomal RNA", at positions 29 to 507 of the family's 1533-position model. The record is from RNAcentral.